Molecule: long non-coding RNA, 8017 nt
Filed under: Populus tremula
Lineage: Eukaryota; Viridiplantae; Streptophyta; Magnoliopsida; Malpighiales; Salicaceae
Description: long non-coding RNA (PTRE_LNC000316)
Source: RNAcentral
UUUUUGUUUUCAAGGCAUGGAAACUGUGGACGGAAGAGAGGGCAUUGGAGCUUCUUGACAAUAUGUCAGAUCGCCCGUAUUCUGUAUCUGAAGUAUUGAGAUGCAUUCAUGUGGGUCUGCUAUGCGUGCAACAAAAGCCGGAAGACAGACCAAAUAUGUCAUCUGUGGUUUUGAUGUUGGGCAGUGAGAAUUCAUUGCCUGACCCAAAGCAACCUGGUUUUUUCACGGAAAGGAAUAUGCCCGCAGUGGACUCUUCAUCAGGAAAUCAUGAAUCAUCGUCUAUAAAUGACCUAACUAUUUCAGAGCUAGAUGCACGGUAGAAGAUUGGCUCUGAUGGUUAAAAGGAAGAGCUAUAUAUAUAUAUAUAUAUGUAUGUAUAUUCUAGCCAAAUCCAAGGCAUAUAACAGAAAUUAAAUAUUUUCUGCUAUAAUUAUGUUGAUGUAUUAUUUUUACCUGUCUACAAGUCCUCUGCAAGUACUAGUGCGAAUACAGAUAGACAGAAUGCUUGAGGAUUCACAUCUCUGGACUGCACAAUAUCUGUACUUGUUUGCUUCGAGCCGUCGAAUUUAAUGCACGGAUCUGGGUUCAAGAUCUAUAUAUGCUAGAGCCUCACUGGCUUCUAACCCAAAAAGAAUCCAUUAGAAUUGUCAAUAUAUAAUUAGUAAAAAAAAAUUACAUACAAUUUAAACAAUCCAAAUUUAUAAUUCAAAUUUACAUUAUAUUUUUCAUAACAUGUUAAAAAAAUAUAUUUUUAACAACCAUACAAGGAGCUAUAGUCUUUCCUUGAUUGAUUUCAUAGCACCUUAAACUUAGCCUUGACCUAACCCUUUUAGGGAUAAAUAUUAUAGGUACGAGUACCUUGAUGAUACUUAGCCUUUGUAGGGGAAUCCGACCGGUGAUGUUUUGAUAUUUGCUCAUAGUAGGCUAAGCACACUAACACAAUAUUUAACGUGGUUCGACAAACCGCCUACAUCCACGGGAGAAACCAUUUGAUUAUAUAGGGAGAGAACAAGAUUUACAACAGUAGAGGAGGAGGAAUCAUCCCCUCUUUGGCAACUCUCAACCUCACUCUAUUUUUCUCUUCUCAAUGCUGCAUUGGCAGCUACUGCUGGCUGCCUUGGCAGCCCACUCUCUCUUACAUUUCUCUCAUAUUUGGCUCUACUUUCACUCUCAUUUUGCUCUCUAAAAUCAUGCCUCUUUUAUAGGCAUCAAUGGCAGCUCCUCUUGCUCCUUUGUCAGCAAUGGUGGCUUCCAAACUUACCAAACUUUGACAAUAGACAAUGGUUGUUGGCUGCCACCAACAACCCACCAUUAUAGCCUCAUUCUUUGACUCUCACAUAGCAGUCAUCUUCUUUGACAUAGGCAGCCACAUAAUUGGCAAUAUUCCAACAAUCACCCCCUUUGCCAUUUAUGUGGGGCAACUAUCCUCUUGCUUCUUCAGCACAUGCUUGCAUCUUGCAGCUUUUCCAAGCUUACCAUUCAACCAGAUGGUUUGUCACAUCUCAUCUGAAGAGUGUUUAAUGCUUGUCUCUGGAACAACAUUCCCCUUCAAGCAUAUCAACCAUGCUUGGCCUGGAAUGAUUUAUCAAGCCUUACAUCAAGGCUUACAACACCCCCUCAAACUGAUAUUCCCAAGUGCGAUAGUCAUUGAGUAUUUUAAUGUGAUCACGAGCUCACCACUCUUCCAAGAGCCUACUCAUCCAGGAGUUGCGUCUGCCCUCUAUUCCACCCUAGGAACCACGCCUUACUUCUCCGUGAGUCUCUCACUCUUAGUCUCAAGAGUCCGGGUAGCAUCCACCUUUACUUAUGGGGGCAGCCCAUUAAAGGUUGAUCCAUAUCUAUCUUCAUACUCUGAGUAUUACAAUGCUUUCACCGAGCUCACCACCUUGACAAGAGUCAACUUGUUCCCGGAACCUGCGCAUGCCCUCUGCUCCUUCAUAGCAGUCGCGUCUUAAUGCUCCACAAGUCACCCACUUAUUGUCCAAGGUAAAUGUCUUCUAGCUCAUUGAUCUUUAGCAUGGGGGCAAUAUCCAUGAAAGUCAAUCCUGCAUUUGUCUUCAUACUCAUCAUAGACUCUUCAUUGGCUAUACACUUGUCCACUUAUAUCCAGCCAUCAUAUUGGCUCUAGGGCUGGGCUCUUUUCAUGGCCCUCACACCUUCUCGUGAGGUGUCUCCGCUCGUCGUCAUGCGAUAGUCUGAAUCUGGGCUAAUAUUAUAGCCCUCACACCGUCCAUCCGAGGUGUCUCCGUUCAUCGUCAUGCGGCUUCAUGUCCCUCACACCUUCUCCGAAGGUGUCUUCGCCCGUUGUCAUGGGGCAGUCUGAUCUUGGGCUCAUAUCAUGGCCCUCACACCUUCUGUCUGAGGUGUCUCCGCCUAUCGUUAUGAGACGGCCUGAACAUGGACUCAUAUCAAGGUCCUCACACCUUCUGUCCAAGGUAUCUCCGCCUGUCGUCAUGAGACGGUCUGAACAUGGACCCAUAUCAUGGUCCUAACACCUUUCGUCUGAGGUGUCUCCGCCUGUUGUCAUGAGACGGUCUGAAUCUGGGCUCAUAUUAUAGCCCUCACACCUUCCAUCCGAAGUGUCUCCGCUCAUCGUGGAGCGGUCUGAAUCUAGGUUCAUAUCAUGGCCCACAAACCUUCCUCUAAGGUGUCUCUGCCCGUUGUCAUGGGACAGUCUGAUCUUGGACCCAUAUCAUGGUCCUCACACCUUCUGUCUAAGGUGUCUCUGCCUGUUGUCAUGAGACGGCCACAUCCUCCUUCAUCGGGGAUGUCUCUAGUGGCUCUAAGAUUCUCUACCACCAUGUGGACUUGGGAGAGAUUACUGCCACUGAUUACAUAGAAAGAUAAAGUUGUGGCAUACUCCUCGCAAUCCUCCACCUCGAUUUCUAUGUCUGGAGCUUCUACGCCUUUCUACUUGAUAGCUCCACCUACACCACUCUCUUUAGUGUCUUCGCCUUUCAUCAUAGGCGGUCACCUUUGUCACAGGCGUUUGCACCCCCUCAAUUAGGUGCCUCUGCAACAGCUCAUCUUUCCAUCAUUGCAUGCAUUGGAAAGGUCCUCGCUUGUUGCCUUCAUCAAGAGCACAAGAGAUUUCUUGUUGUAUAACUUUUUCACACCGUCUCUACUCUAAGCUUCAUCUGGGAACUCUUAUUCUCCUUGCACCUACUGUCUCAUUACAGUACCUCGUUGGAUCCUACGGGUACUCCUGCACAAUCUCCGUGUGCUCUCGUGCAAUUCCGGUUCUCUAGAUUUCUCCCUAUUUUUUGCUUUUAUGUUUGACAACAGCUCAUCCUGUCACAACAUUUAUCCAAGUCAAAAUAGGGUGCCAAUCUUUAUCCCCUUGUUGUAUUUCUCUUCCAUUAUCAGGGUCUUCAUUAAUUCUCCCUUCGAGAAAUUACAGUCACCGAAUCUAACUUCUUUGGAGAAAUCACCACUCCAUUAGAUCCUUGAACAUACGGAACCCAACUGUUCCUUUAUGUCGUCAUCUUGCUAGUCUUCAACAGUUUCAUUACAAACUGUUACAUAUACAAAAAUAGUACUGUGUGGAUGAUCCUUCAACUAAGCAAGUUCCCAGGAAAGAUUUGGAGGGGUCACACUGGUCCCGUGAUUAGUACUUAAAAGUGCAUGUUUAUCAAGGUUUUAUAUCAUCAUUUUGCACUUGAAGUAUCAAUAACUCCUUAACUAAAGCAUGUUUUAUAAUAACAAGUUUGAUACUAUAAGAUACCUUAAUUUAUGGUAAAUGCUCAUCUUAUAUGCAGGCCUAUCACAUAAAUAAAAUGAUUGAUUGAUGAGUUUAAGUAUUGAAAGUGAAAGGACAAAGAGAUGGCCAAACUUAGAAAAGAGAUGUCGGUGCAGUCCAAACCAGAACAUUGCUCGGUAAUUGGAUCAUAUUUGGAGCUCUAGAUCUCAGAUUUAGGUCCAUUUUAUAUGGAUGGAAAGGUAAUACAAAGGCCUACAACUUUCAUGAGGAGCCUAAGAUUUAAAAAGGUCGUUUUGAAGUCCAAAUUGAAGGAACAACGAAGAAGUCCGAAGCUGUCCUGCAGCCCAGACACUAUUUAGUGUUCAACCCAUAUCUUGAGUUCUAGAAGUCCAAAUGACCUCAUCUUUUUUUUUUUGGAAAGCUGAGACAAUUUCCUAGAACAUUCCUGAGGAUUCUGGGCAAAUUAUUAUGUUAGAAAUGACGUUUUGUUCAGACAAGAAGAUAAGGAUUGUCACCAAGUCAAGAUGUGGCCACCCACUCAUCAAUUAGUCAACAAAUCAAUAGUUCUAAAUUUUGGCCUAUAAAAGGAGGCACUUACCAUGUAUUGAGGCAUCUUGGUUUCCAGAUCAAGAUCAUGCUCUUGCUUUCUCUCUUUGUAUUGCUUAUGUCUUGCUUUCAUUAAUAUCAAGUUUAUGCACUUCAUUUUCUUUCCUUUACUUAGUUAACUUCUUUCUCAUUUAUGUUCUUAUCUUGUUCAUUUAUGUUUCUUUCUUUCAUUAUGUUCAGCUAAGUUAAUUAUGUCAAGGUGAAAAGGGUACACUAAUGGUGUAAGAAUAAGUAUAAUAUAAACUUAACAUGGACCUUAACGUUGGAUACUAACAUGUUUUAUAUUUGUUAUCUUGUUCACUUUUAAUACUUUGCUUGUUAAAUGGUUAAUCUAGAUUUAUGUUAUAUAACAUUUGGUACAACAAAUACUUGGUACUUUCAUAGCCCAUACUGUAUGGUAUAACCGACACCUGAGCUAUAAAAGGAACUUGAUUUGUUGUUAACAUAAGUUAUAAUCAUGAAUGCCUGCCAACAUUUACAAGUAUUAGCUUUAUUCGAAUAAGAUAACUAAUGUAAUCAUGUUAACAAUUUAUAAUCUGAUUGGAACCUCCUUUAUGUGUGGUUUCCAAUUGAGUAAUAAGAGUUUAUACUAUACUUGUUUGAAAUACCAUUAGUGGAUCCUCUAACCUUGACAUUUGUUGUUGUUAUUGUUUAAUCCUUACGUUAAUCUUUCAUCUCAAAGUUCUCAUUAAUUUCUUCAUCUUCUGCUUUUAUUAUUAUUAUUAUUAUUAUUAUUAUUAUUAUUAUUUACAUUCUGUUUAUAUUAUAUAAUAUAUAUCUUUGAUCUUUUCAUAAACUCAGUAUAUAGGCUGGAAACCUGUGACCCGAUCUUUUAGAUUAUUCUCAGGUAUAACAACGCCACGUACUAAGUAUUAUAAUUAUUAUUGUUGUUAUUAUUGUUGUUGUUGUUAUUGUUGUUGUAUUGUUAUUUAUAAUUUAUACAAUUAAUCUCUAUGUGGUUCGACCCCGGUUUUGCCGGGUUAUUUAUUACUUCGACACUCCUGCACUUGGGAAAAGACAUCAAGCUUUAGGUCGUGUCAAGUUUUUGGCGCCGUUGCCGGGGAGGUAAAUUCUUGUAUAAAUUAUAAUUUUUAUUUCUUUUUAUUUUUUUCAUUUUAUUUAAUUUUGUUUCUUUUCUUUUCUUGCUUUUAUUCUCUUUUUACACGUGCAUGAGAGUUUGGUCACGUAUAUUAAGUGGUCGACUUUGUAGGGUAUCCUCAUCAUUUUUAGAAAAUAUGGCUGAAGAAGAUAAUCAAUCGCUUCAUAAUGAGAAUAAUGAGAAUAACCGUAUGAGAACACUUAGAAAUCACAUGAAUCCCACAAGAACAAGUGCACCCUCAUGCAUAGUUUUCCCUUUCCUUUCCUGGUAUGAUACAAGCAUGAGGCUAGUAGAAUGCAAGGACAAGUGUCUAAAAAACUACAAUUGCACGGCAUAUGCAAAUUCAAAUAUCACAGGAGAAGGCAGUGGCUGCAUACUCUGGUUCGGUGAAUUGGCUGAUAUGAGAGAGUUUAGUUAUGGGGGCCAAGACCUCUACAUAAGGAUGCCACCACCUUUGAAAACAGGUAUUUUUCAAUAUUCUUCCCAUGAUUCUCAAGCAGGGUAUUUUUUUUCACUCUUUCUCUCUGUUUCUUUGUUUUUUUUUUUGAAAUGAGGAAGUUGUAUGUUCCUUGAAUGUUUUCCUAACUUCGUGUCCUCAUUUCCUCAUUCUAUUUACAAAUAAAACAGAACUCCUUUCUGUGUUUAUUGUGGGUUUUCAGAUCAGGCGACGUCAAACACAAAUUCUGGUAAGAAGAAGCUUUCAGGAAUCAUACUCGGUUCCACACUCCUUGCUGGAGUGCUUAUGGUAGGACUAAUCUUCUAUAUAUGGAGAAAGAAGCAGAAAAAGCAAGGUAGUGUACUGUGGACAAUUCUUCUUAUUCCAGAACAUGGACCUUGUUGAUAUAUAUAGUAUGCAUGGUAGAAUUUUAUGUUAGUCAUCGAUAACAAAAUGAAGCAUUUGUUAGAUCAUUGCUGACAACUGAUCAAUCUUCUGCUAUUCAGAAAUAGAGGAAGACAUGGAGUUGCCAUCGUUUCAUUUGGCCACCAUAGUGAAAGCAACGGAUAACUUUUCAAGCAACAACAAGUUGGGACAAGGUGGUUUUGGACCGGUAUAUAAGGUAUAUAACAACGUGCUUCAAAGCUGAGAGAUCAUCUACUAUGAGAUAUUCUAACUUCAGUAAAUAACGAUUCCCAGGGUACAUUGAUUGAUGGGCAAGAAAUAGCAGUGAAAAGACUCUCAAAAAGUUCUCGGCAAGGAUUGACAGAGUUCAAGAAUGAAGUUAUCUUGAUAGCUAAGCUUCAGCACAGAAAUCUUGUUAAACUUCUUGGCUGUUGCAUUCAAGGAGAUGAAGUAAUGUUGAUCUAUGAAUUCAUGCCCAACAAAAGCCUAGAUUGUUUUAUUUUCGGUUUGUACCCCAUGAACUGGUUAGAGUUUCUUGCAGUUAGAUUGCUUGUUCUAUGAUGUUUCAUUUAUACAUCAGAAUAACAUAACAUUAUGAUAAAUUGAUUAGAUCAAACAAGAAACAAAUUCCUGGACUGGCAGAGACGUAACCUCAUUAUCGGUGGCAUUGCUAGAGGACUACUUUAUCUUCAUCAAGACUCUAGACUAAGGAUUAUCCAUAGAGAUCUCAAAGCCAGCAACAUAUUAUUAGAUAAGGAUAUGAACCCCAAAAUUUCAGAUUUUGGAAUGGCUAGACUGUUUGGAGGAGACCAAAUUGAAGCAAACACAAAUAAAGUGGUCGGAACAUAGUAAGUACACUCUACACCUAUUUUGUUACAAUGUAUAAUCUCCGCACAUUUAAACUUUUUCUGAAAAUGUUUUUCCGCAGUGGAUACAUGUCCCCUGAGUACGUUGUUGAUGGGCGUUUCUCACUGAAAUCCGACGUCUUCAGCUUCGGUGGUUUAGUCUUGGAGAUAAUAAGUGGGAAGAAAAAUAGAGGAUUCUCCCACCCGGAUCAUUGCUAUAAUCUUCUUGGACAUGUAAGGAUAAAAUUAAACAUGUUAAUUUAAUUUAAUUAUGUAUUAACAAUUUUUCUCAUGACAAGUUUUUUGUUUUCCAGGCAUGGAAACUGUGGACGGAAGAGAGGGCAUUGGAGCUUCUUGAAAAUAUGUCAGAUCGCCCGUAUUCUGUAUCUGAAGUAUUGAGAUGCAUUCAUGUGGGUCUGCUAUGCUAUGGUUUUGAUGUUGGGCAGUGAGAAUUCAUUGCCUGACCCAAAGCAACCUGGUUUUUUCACGGAAAGGAAUAUGCCCGCAGUGGAGUACUCUUCAUCAGGAAAUCAUGAAUCAUCAUCUAUAAAUGACCUAACUAUUUCAGAGCUAGAUGCACUGUAGAAGAUUGGCUCUGAUGGUUAAAAGGAAGAGCAUAUAUAUAUAUAUAUAUAUAUAUAUAUAUUUCUAGCCAAAUCCAAGGCAUAUAACAGAAGUUAAAUAUUUUCUGCUAUAAUUAUGUUGAUGUAUUAUUUUUACCUGUCUACAAGUCCUCUGCAAGUACUGUUGCGAAUACAGAUAUACAGAAUGCUUGAGGAUUCACAUCUCUGGACUGCACAAUAUCUGUACUUGUUUGCUUCGAGCCAACGAAUUUAAUGCACGGAUCUGGGUUCAAGAUCUAUAUAUGCUAGAGCCUCACUGGCUUCUAACCCAAAAAGAAUCCAUUAGAACUUCUUACUAGAUUU